AAAAUGCCGUUUGCCUCUUGGUGUUACAAGAACCUGAGAUAUGUGUCGAAGUUUAUCGUAAACAUGAAUAUUCGUACGACAAAACCAAAAAAACCCUGGUCACUGAGGUUACUUUGUUUUGGUCAAUCGACAACGGGCCAAAAAAGGUCAAACCUUUGGAUCUUGCGGAGCUUUCGGAUUGUUUCAGGAUCUCUAUUUGUGUGGAUAAACUGGACAAAUCCUUAGGUGAUAGAAUAAAAGAGCGGAAUACAAUGAAACGAGCAGUCUGUCCUCAACCAAAUACUUCGACCACCAAUCUUUCUCCUUAUCCUACCCACUCACAACCCGUUUUAGAAUCGAAGAGCGAGACCUUGUCAAGUCCUUCUCAAGGCAUUCACUUACCAACUUGUUUCAUUUGUAGACAAGUAAUGAAAGGCGAUAAGAUCGAAGCCCUGGGUAAGUCCUUUCAUCCAGGGUGCUUUAAUUGCUCUCAAUGUGACUGCAAUUUGGCAGGAGAUGAUGAUCGUUUCAAAGCAGAUGAGUCUAAAAACAUUCAUUGUUUUUCAUGUUAUAACAGAAAGUUCGGAAAUAUUUGCUAUGGUUUCAAAGAUGUCAUAAAAGUGUUGGGUGGUCUUCCGGGUAAAAUGUUGAAGGCGGGAGGUAGAACCUACCAUCCAGAUUGUUAUCGUUGUGAAAGUUGUUUGACAAAGUUUGGUAAUGGUGGAAUGAAAUGCUAUCCCAAAAAUGGUCAAUUCCUUUGCUCAAAUUGCUCUUAACGAUAGCUCAAAGUCAGUCAUAUAUGUGUGGAUGUGCUACAAUUGCUGUGUGUGUAGGAAAGGAGCGAUCUGCUUUUUAGAGGACAGAUAAAAUACGUACAUUCCUACAAACUUAAUUUAUUUAUGAGAAUUGGU
This is a long non-coding RNA of Tigriopus californicus, 890 nucleotides long. RefSeq lists it as uncharacterized. The record is from RefSeq and is a predicted model, not a curated record. The transcript has 3 exons. NCBI's taxonomy places the organism in Eukaryota, Metazoa, Arthropoda, Copepoda, Harpacticoida, Harpacticidae.